CCAACGUGGAUACUCCUGGGAGGUCAAUCUCCCUGGGCUCUGUCCAGGUGGGAUAGAAGAGCAUAGGGUUCUGCCCCAUGAUGUACAGUCCAUUUCCACCACGCCUUGAGUCUGCACCUGCAUUCCUACAGCUUCUCAGGGUUCUGUGGACAGUGACAGAGGAGACAAACCAUGUGGAAACAGCU
This is a small nucleolar RNA of Mustela putorius furo (domestic ferret), 185 nucleotides long. Its record names the gene SNORA73. It matches the Rfam family "Small nucleolar RNA SNORA73 family". Rfam says of the family: U17 (SNORA73A and SNORA73B) also known as E1 belongs to the H/ACA class of small nucleolar RNAs (snoRNAs). Vertebrate U17 is intron-encoded and ranges in length from 200-230 nucleotides, longer than most snoRNAs. The record is from Ensembl. NCBI's taxonomy places the organism in Eukaryota, Metazoa, Chordata, Mammalia, Carnivora, Mustelidae.